RNAcentral lists this ribosomal RNA (253 nucleotides) under uncultured prokaryote. Its description in RNAcentral is "partial 16S ribosomal RNA". It matches the Rfam family "Bacterial small subunit ribosomal RNA", at positions 525 to 777 of the family's 1533-position model. The record is from RNAcentral.
ACAGAGGGUGCGAGCGUUGUCCGGAAUCACUGGGCGUAAAGGGCGCGUAGGUGGCGACCCAAGUCGAUGGUGAAAGCUCGCCGCUUAACGGCGAGUCGGCCACCGAUACUGGGUUGCUCGAGCACUGUAGAGGCUAAUGGAAUUCCGGGUGUAGCGGUGGAAUGCGUAGAGAUCCGGAAGAACACCGGUGGCGAAGGCGGUUAGCUGGGCAGUUGCUGACACUGAGGCGCGACAGCGUGGGGAGCAAACAGGA